UUUGGUUGAAUUGAUUGGUGAAAACCAAACAAUGGAAAUGGAAUAAAAAUAUCAGAGAUCACAUAUUAUCCCCCAAUCUAUUUAAAAAAAUAAUAGUCAUUAGAUCUGUACAAGAUGAUGGGAGGAAAAGCAAAUGUCCACAUACUUGCAAAUGCACACAUGCAAGCACACACAACACUGUUGAGUAUGACAUAACUUCAAAACCUCAAAACAUAUUUUUCAGA
Molecule: unclassified non-coding RNA, 224 nt
Filed under: Hevea brasiliensis (rubber tree)
Lineage: Eukaryota; Viridiplantae; Streptophyta; Magnoliopsida; Malpighiales; Euphorbiaceae
Source: RNAcentral